Molecule: long non-coding RNA, 742 nt
Organism: Strongylocentrotus purpuratus (purple sea urchin)
Lineage: Eukaryota; Metazoa; Echinodermata; Echinoidea; Camarodonta; Strongylocentrotidae
Exons: 4
Source: RefSeq, a predicted model, not a curated record
CCCCAGAACUAGUUCGAAGACAGAGCGCGGUAGAAAUUGAAGGAGAUCGGUUAAUUUCAGACACUUGGCUAAUAAACCCGUAAUUCUUUUGAAGACUAUUGCACGACUUCGACCUUUUUCUUUUGUCGAUUGGAGUUGUGUGAAAGAGCAGUGGUUCAAUUCAAUUAACAGGAUAGGUCUUCCUCCCUCGGAUUCAGUUUUUAGAGUAGAGCGGAACAGUUUUUUCGGAGAAGACGACGCGAUCAUUCGUCCGUCCUUCGCUAAGUUUACUUCAGCGGUAGACGGGGGUUCGUCACAUUUCCUUUCAAGUGAUCAUGGACAGGUUACAUAUAUUGAUGCUUGUCGUCAUGGUAACACUACUCGGUUUCUUUACAUCGUCUGAUGCUGGGCGUGGAGAUGGAUGCAGAUACUACAGUAAGAUGUGUAAGUACCAAGGCACACGCUAUGAACGCUGGGAUACAUGGUCAACCAAAAAUUGCUACGACUGUACGUGCCUUGGGAAAGGCUACGGGUACAAAUGCUGUCAAGAUUACUGGCUACCGAUGAUCUUCGAUGAAGACCAAUGCGAGGCUGUUUGGGAUAAGAAGACGUGUUCGUACUCAGUCCAACCCAGGAACCCAACAGACACAAAGCCCUGUGAAAUAUUCGCCGGGAUCCUGAAAUAGAUAUAGCGCCAUCUAUAGACAACUACUUUAUUGUAUUUCUUAUUUCUUACAAAGCAGUAUUCAAUAUUAUUAUCUAU